CCCCAAAAUCCUCAGCACAAGAGAAAGAGGUACAGAGAGAGAAUGGAGCAAGGCAGGUCCCAGAGCCCUGGUUGUGCUGCCUGGUGUGUUCCAGCAGUGUCAGCUGCCUUGGAGCAGCACCUCAGCUACUUCUCCUGCUCUCUGAAGACUUGUGUGAAAUGACCAAGAUACAAAGGGCCAGGGCUGCUCCUGGAAGAGGAAAAGCCUAUUGGUGUUGCCUGAAUGAAGGGGCUGAGUCUCUACAUUCAUAUCCUGGGAAAGCAGUUGAGAUUGAUCCUGGUUUGGUCACCCACUGAUGAGCUAAUUUUAACACCAACCAUGAACAUCUCACCGCUGGAAUUGCCGUGUGCCCGCUUGUGUGAGAGAGCAAAUCACUCCAGCAGUAGCGUAGAUCGUUCUUCUGCACCCAUUGUUAUGGAAAUCACCUUAGAGACUGUUGCUCCAGCAAACAUUUUUAGAAGCACCAGUGAGUUGCGCAACAGGAAAAGUGCUCGGAGGUGAGGAAAGCCCCCCUGGAGGCUCUCAGCGCUGCCCCUUCCCCCAGCGGCUCUCCUGGUGGGGACGGGGUUUGGGGUGUUCCUUUGCCUGGUAAGGCAGGCAGAGCGUGCUUGUGGAGGAGAAGCCCCUGGUGCGUCAGUCUCCAAGGAAACCCUGGGUGCUGCGUGGCUCAGCCUUCCUUGCACGCCUGGGCACUGCCUCACACAUCCCAGGCUUGUGCCUGAAUCACACAUCCACACUGUGAUCUGCCAGCGGCGUUUUAUGGGUGCAAAUUUUAGGCAAAUGGUGGGGUUUUCCUACCCCUAGAUGCCACUUCAUCUCAGAGAGCCUCGUGGUUGGCUUUGGUGUGCAGCACCAGUGAAACCAGCCCUAUCUCUGUUUCGGGUGCACAUUCCUCUCCGUUGAGUCUGGAAGGAGAAGCCUUGUAAUGCUCCCACACCUCCCAGCUUCUCUAGAGCAAGCCUGGGAGCCUGCUGGUUACAGGGAGGCUGGGGCAGCAGGUGCUUCCAGGGGUGCUGCCACCAGCCUGGCUGCAGUGCCUGAGCCAGGGCAGGCCACCCCUCUGCCCCCUGCCUGGUGACAGCAGGAAGGAUAGAGGAGAGCCAGUCACUGCCCCAAAAGCUUCCAAACCCCCACAGGUUAGGGCAGCCCACCCACAGGGCAGUUCCACUGCUCAUCCCCCAUUUGUGCUCAAACACCUAGCCCUGAAUUUUAAUUAAAAGAAAUCAUCUCUUCUUGUCUUGAUUAACUACAAAUAAUUGUUUCUCUUGAGUUUACUUCUCAUGCUCCUCAUCACUGCCUGCUCUGGAGCAGGACCAGCUCUCCAGCCUGUGCCCAGGAGCCUCCUGCAGCCUCAGCUGAUGGAAGGGGAAAAGCACAGAUCCAGUGACCUUUGUUUGCCUCACUGCUGCUCACAGUCCCUGCCUGACAUUUGAGGAGUGCUCUUAAAAAAACCUACCAUUUCUGGCACACUGGCCCUGCUGCUGAAGAGCUGUUCCUCUUCCACCUCCUUCACCUACUGGGAUUAAAAGCUACAGAGUCUGCCUUCUUACGCAGAGCCAGUGACUCAUUCCUGGGAUGUCUUUGCUGAAUUUGCCUGGUCACCUCCUUCCCUGAGCGCUGCUUCUUGCUUGUCACAUGGUGAGUGAAGGAGCACAGGCACAGUGUGUGCUGGGAUGGCACCAGUUGCUGGCAGGAUCCCCCUCUCCUCGUGCCCUGGGUGCCCCUAGGCUGGUGCCCCCUCUGUUCUGGGCAGAAGGGAAGGGAUGUGUGUCUCCAAUUCCAUCCUUUUCUCCAAGAUCCACCACCUGUGCUAUGGAAUGCUGUGAGCUCUCCCUGCUCCCCUGGCUUUGCACGUUCCAGGCUGCCAUUCACAAGGACCUCAGUGUGCAAAGAGGAGCUUUGUGAAGUCCAGCAAAGGGAGUAGGAGCUCCUGCCCCCAAGGAGGAAUGGCCCCACUCACCUGUGCAAUGACCCAGUACAAACUGGGGACCAGCUGGCUGGAAAACAGCUGUGCAGGUAGAGACCUGGGAGGGCCUGGUGGAUAAUGAGCUGACCAUGAGCCGGUGGUGCCUUCUCACAAUCAGCAACAUCAUGAGCUGGAUUAAGAAGAUCAUUGCCAGCAGGCCAAGGGAGAAGGAGGAAGGAGGUUUUGAUUCAUCCUUUUGGAUCAAGCAGUGCUGCCAGAAACUGGAUUGGCACAUUGUGAGUGCUUCAGGUACUUCUUGCCAACUCUGAGGUCCAGCAGAGUCCUGCAUGAAGGAUCUUAAACCCCAGUUCCAGGCUUGGAA
Molecule: long non-coding RNA, 2288 nt
Organism: Zonotrichia leucophrys gambelii
Lineage: Eukaryota; Metazoa; Chordata; Aves; Passeriformes; Passerellidae
Exons: 4
Source: RefSeq, a predicted model, not a curated record